This 111-nucleotide ribosomal RNA is filed under the name Saimiri boliviensis boliviensis (Bolivian squirrel monkey). The record is from RNAcentral. Lineage: Eukaryota; Metazoa; Chordata; Mammalia; Primates; Cebidae.
CACUCUGGCACCAGAGCAGUUUGAGGGCACCCCAUCCCAGAAGCUAAGCUGGGUCAGACUUGUCUGGAGCUUGGAUGAGGGACCACCUGGGAACAACAAGGGCUGGAGGCU